This 7119-nucleotide long non-coding RNA is filed under the name Amborella trichopoda. Its description in RNAcentral is "long non-coding RNA (ATRI_LNC001989)". Lineage: Eukaryota; Viridiplantae; Streptophyta; Magnoliopsida; Amborellales; Amborellaceae. The record is from RNAcentral.
CCUCUGCCAGGAUUUCCCAUGGAGAUUCCAUAAAAAUUUAUCUGGGGUGGAGGUCUCAUACGCCCCACCUCCAAUACCACCUCUGCCAGGAUUUCCCAUGGAGAUUCCAUAAAAAUUUAUCUGGGGGUUCCCAUACGGCUUCUUGAUCAAUCAUGUCAUCCUUAUCAAGUGAUGCAACUGAUACAUUUGAUCAAUCAGUGCCAUUGCCAAAAAUUCUACUAGAUGGCACACAGGCCCUUUAGUGAUCUUCCAAAGUGAACUACCUCAAUGUGAAAAUAUUUGUAACAUGUCCCACUUUCAUAUAUAUCCAAUUCCAUAUCUUUCCUUGUAUACCCACAAUACAAAAACAGAAAGAUGGUCAUGUUUCUCUUCAACCUUUACACAUGUAUUCGUUAAAAACUUUUCCCCCUUUUUCUAAGCACAUCAAUGGUCAACAGCUUGUUCAUGCUGAGCAACCAAUAAAACAUUUACUUUCAUUGGGUACAAAGGAUACCAUUGCUGCAUCCCACCCUCAUGUCUGGUUUUCUGGACAUCCAAGAAGAGCAUAAUUCAUUAUGGGAGGAGAUCAUGAAUUUGCAUGAUGCUAUCAUGUUUGAGGGAGAUGGUGAAAAUUGGAGAUUUUUUGGGUGGGAGAAUGGGAGGAAGAUGACACAUGAUUGAGAAGGAGAAUAAGGGGCGAGAGACAUGUACGGUUUUCUAGGCAUCCAAGAAGAGCAUAAUUCAUUAUGGGAGACGUCAUGAAGUUGUAUGAUGCAUCAUGGUUGAGGGAGAUGGUGGAAAAUUGGAGAUUUUUCGUGGUGGGAUGGGAGGAAGAUGGCACAUAAUUGACAGGGAGAAUAAGGGGCGCGAGAGUGGACCCGUGCAAAAUAAGGGGUCAUCAAGCAAACUGCCUGACAGAGAACCCAUCGUGAGAGAGAAUAGAAAUUACCAGGUCAAAGAGAGUGGAUGAGAGAGAGAAUAAAAGGUAUAGCAUUUAGUAGAGAGAGAGAGAGCGAGUUUGUCAAGAGAGGGAUGUACUUACAAUGAAAUCACCCCAAUUUGUCAAGAAGAGCAUCAUUAUGGGAGAGGUCACGAAGUUGUGUGAUGCUAUCAUGUUUGAGGGAGAUGGUGGAAAAUUGGAGAUUUUUCGUGGUGGGAGAAUGGAAGGAAGAUGGCACAGGAUUGAGAGGGAGAAUAAGGGGCGAGAGAGUGGGCCCGUGCAAAAUAAGGGGUCAUCAAGCAAACUGCCUGACAAAGAACUCAUCGUGAGAGAGAAUAGAAAUUACUGUCAAAGAGAGUGGAUGAGAGAGAGAAUGAAAGGUAUAGCUUUUAGAGAGAGAAUUUGUCAAGAGAGGGGAUGUACUUACAAUGAAAUCACCCAAGUCAAUAGAAGUUAAGUACACGAAUCAUAAAAACUCUAGGUUGUGCUUUUCAAAACUCAAAAGCAUGACUAUGUAAAAUCAUUACAUAUACUUCACAAACGUUAUAUGCAAAUGGAUUUCAGACAUUACCUUUUUAUUUAUUUUGUUGACAUGAAUUCGAUAUUACCUUAUUGAGAAUAUAGAACGCACUAUGGACGGGGGUAAUGAUUAAAAAAAUUCUCUACAAAGUAAUAGCCCAUUUUGUUCAAUAUGUACUAAUGGUUAUUUAAAAUAAAAGAAGAGCCAAACAUACUUUGUUCAAUAUGUACUAAUGGUUAUUUAAAAUAAAAGAAGAGUCGAACAUACUUUGUUAGCAUACCAGAUACUUUGUCAAAUUAACCUUAUAUAUUAUCAGGGUUUUUUUUUUUUUAAACAAAGGUAGCAUUUACUUCUUCAUUCAUUCAUUUAUUCACAAAAUAACACAAGUACUUUCCCAAAAAAAAAAAUGAAAAUAACAUAAGUACAUCAACAAAAUGCAGCAGUAAUGCAAUUUAUAAAAAUUGCCAUCACACAAUAUACAACAUUACCAAAAAACUCCAACUAUUUACAUUCAAUCGUUCCCCCUAACUCUGGGCCCAUCUUUAUAUCACAGUUUACACUUGCAUCUAGACUGCAUCUUUAAGCCAAAGCAUCUGCUGCUGAGUUUUUCUCUCUAUAUACAUUAAAUCUUUCCCCCUAACUUUGGGCCCAUCUUUAAUAUCACAGUUAACACUAGCAUCUAGACUGCAAAGCAUCUGCUGCAAGUUUUUCUCUCUAUAUACAUUCAAUCUUUCGCCCUAACACUUGCAUCUAGACUAAAUCUUUAUCCAAAGCAUCUGCUGAUGAGCUUUUCUCUCUAUAUACAUUCAAUCUUUACCCCUAACUCUAGGCCCAUCUUUAAUAUCACAGUUAACACUUGCAUCUAGACUGCAUCUUGAGCCAAAACAUUUGCUGCUGAAUUUUUCUCUCUAUAUAUACAUUGAAUCUUUCCCACUAACUCUGGGCCCAUCAUUAAUAUCACAAUUAACACUUGCAUCUAGACUGCAUCUUUAUCCAAAGCAUCUGCUGCUGAGUUUUUCUCUCUAUAUACAUUCUUUCCCCCUAACACUUCCAUCUAGACAUUAUCUUUAUCCAAAGCAACUGCUGCUGAGUUUUUCUCUCUAUAUGCAUAUGAACCAAUUAUCAGGAAAUGAACCAUAACCUCCUCCCAAAGCAUCAAAGGCACCUCCAUUUUCUUCUUACACCAAUGAAUCACAUUCAUGGGGUGUCAUACUCAAUGAUCCACCAAAUUGCUAAGCCACCUUAAUCCCUUGCAACACUGAUCUCAGCUCCAUUUGCUAUUAAUAAUACACAAAGCCCACAAGAUCUCUUUAAAAUUGUCCCAAUAUGAUCCCUAACCGGCUCUCCAAUAUACCACAAUUAUCUCUAUAAAAUUGUCACAUUUCCUUCGUACACUAAUGAGUCACGUUCAUAGAAUCACCUACAAUGAUCCAUUAUCACCAAUCUGCUACUCUAAUCCCUUGCAGCACUGAUCUUAUCUCAGCUCCAUUUGCUAUAUUAAUAAUAAUACACAAAGCCCACAAUAUCUCUUUAAAAUUGUCCCAAUAUGAUCCCUAACCAGCCCUCUAAUAUACCACAAUUAUCUCUACAAAAUUGUCACAUUUCCUUCGUACACCAAUGAGUCACGUUCAUGGAAUCACCCACAAUGAUCCAUUAUCACCAAUCUACUAUUCUAAUCCCUUGCAACACUGAUAUCAUUUCAGCCUCAUUUUCGGUUAACACCCCACAGGCCCACAAUAUCUUUUUUUAUGAUCCUUAACUGCACCUCCAAUACCACCUCUGCCAGGAUUUCCCAUGGAGAUUCCAUAAAAUUUAUCAGGGGGUUCCCAUACGCCUGCUUGAUGGGUACUACAUGUCAUACUUAUCAAGUGAUGCAACUGAUACAUUCGAUCAAUCAUUGCCAUUGCCAAAAAUUAUUUUCUAGUAGAUGCCCCACGCAACCCCUUUAGUGAUCUUCCAAAGUGAACUUUCAUCAACCUAACAUUUGACAACUCCCACAAUGUGAAAAUAUCACACACAUGUUUUGUAACAUGUACUGCACCCGCUUCCACAAUGCAAAAACAGAUGGUCAACCUUUACACAGAAUACAUGUAUUUGCUAAAAACUUUUCCCCCUUUUUCUAAGCACAUCAAUGGUCAACAGCUUGUUCAUGCUAAGCAACCAAAUAAAAUAUUUUACUUUCAUUGGUACUGGGCAACUUCCAAAUUCUGACCCACCUCAUCUCUUGCCAUUGUCUUCUAUCAUUAAAGAGCAAGUCAUAUAUGCCUAACAAUAAAAGCCCCUUGAGAAUUUGGUUCCAAAUGAUAUCUUUUCCUUAGAUAGUAAUAAUAGAACCUUUCACCACCUCUUCACCAAUCCAAGUAAUAUUCCAGAUGGCAUUAUACCCAUAUGCAUUGACCAUCUCUUUCAUAUUUGAAUUUAUGAAGUCACUUUUGCAAACGAAGUUGGGAACUGUACCUUUAGAGAUCUGUCCCCACCCAAUUCUAUUGCUAGAAUCUGGUUUGUUCCAUCUCCCGCCGAUACUCUCAUAUUUCUUAAAAUACUUCAUUUUGUGCAACAACCCCAUCCAAAUCUGAGUAAAGCCUUUCUUGUUUAAGCUCUCAUAUGCCAUCGGUAUUUCCCACAUUUCUCUAAGAAUAUCCUUUUCCAUAACUGAUCAUCUUUCAUUCAGCACUAGUCAACCUUUUCACAUCCAUUCUUCAUAGGUAGGUACAAACCUUAUCCCAAGCUACCAAACAGAAAUUCUUUUUUAUCUUCAUUUUCUUCCCACAAAAACCUCUCUUGGUAUUCUAAACAAGGACACAAAAGUAAACUAGAGUUUGACAAAGUUAACCUAAUUAAAGUCAAUCUCCUUACCAAGAUAAAAAUCUCCCUAUAAAGUCAAUUUCCAUAAGUCAAGCUUAAACUGCACAUUUUGGAUCACAGGGUCCCAUAUAGAUCUAGAAGCCAUUGAACCUAUAACAGGAAACUUCCCUACACCACAUCUAAGAACUACAAGAAACCCUAUAAUAAGGUUGGUCUUGUUCCAAUUCACUCUAAGACUAGUAACCACCUCAAAACAACACAAGAAACUCCUCAACGUUAUUAUUUCACACUAUUUGUGCACUACGAAAAGUUAGUGUGUCAUCUGCAUACCAAAAAUGUAAUAUCUGACUUCUUCUAUCACUCACUUUAAAUCUCUUCAAUAGUCCAGCCUCCACUAAGUCUGCAACACACUGCAUCUAAUUAAAGUCGACCUAAUUAAAGUCAAUCUCCCUCCCAAGGAUUAAAAAUUUAGCUUUCCAACAGUCAAGCUUAAACUGCACAUCUAAUUAAGGUCGACCUAAUUAAAGUUAAUACUCCCUCACAAGGAUUAAAAAAACUUAACUUUCCAUAAGUCAAGCUUAAACUGCACACUUUGGAUCACAGGGAGGUUGGUCUUGUUCCAAUUCACUCUAAGACCAGUAACCACCUCAAAACAACACAAGAAUCUCCUCAAAGUUAUUAUUUUACACUCUUGUGCACUACAAAAAGUUAGUGUGUCAUCUGCAUACCAAAAAUGUAAUAUCUGGCUUCCUCUAUCACUCACUUUAAAUCUCUUCAACAGUCCAAACCUCCACUAAGUCUCUAAGCAUCACACUAUAUCCAAUUAAAGUUGACCUAAUUAAAGUCAAUGCACUACGAAAAGUUAGUGUGUCAUCUGCAUACCAAAAAAGUAAUAUCUGGCUUCCUCUAUCACUCACUUUAAAUCUCUUCAACAGUCCAAACCUCCAGUAAGUCUCUAAGCAUCACACUACAUUCAAUUAAAGUUAGGCCUAAUUAAAGUCAAUCUUCCUCCCAAGGAUUAAAAAUUCAGGUUUCCAUAAGUCAAGCUUAAACUGCACAUCUAAUUAAAGUCGACCUAAUUAAAGUCAAUCUCCUCCCAAGGAUUAAAAAUUUAGCUUUUCAUAAGUCAGGCUUAAAACUGCACACUUUGGAUCAUAGGGUCCCAUACAGAUCUAGAAGCCCUUGACCCUAUUAACAGGAAACAUCCAUACACCAUAUCUGCAGCAAUUUUUCCCGCUCUUCAUCAUUUCAACACACCCAUAUAAGGUUGGUCUUGUUCCAAUUCACUCUAAGAUAACACAAGAAUCUCCUCAAAGUUAUUAUUUCACACUCUUGUAAACUACAAAAAGUUAGUGUGUCAUCUACAUACCAAAAAUGUAAUAUCUGGCUUCCUCUAUCACUCACUUUAAAUCCCUUAAAUAGUCCAACCUCCACUAAGUCUCUAAGCAUCACACUACAUGUCUCAACCAUUAAGGUAAACAAAAAGGCGACAGUGGAUCACCUUGUCUUACACGCUUGUUGCUUUGAAAAGGCCCUUGGGUCGUCCGUUUAUCAAAAUUGAUAAAACAGACAGAACUCAAACACUCCUCAAUCCAACUUAUCCAUUUAACCACAAAACCCAUUUGCAUCCAUCACUUUCAUAAGAACACCCCAGUCCACCUUGACAUGGGCCUUUUCCAAAUUGAUUUUACACAUUAAGCCGGUGCCCCUAGCUUUACUUGAGCUAAUACACUCAUGAGCACACAAAAUAUAAUCCGUAAUUUGUCUCCCUUUUAAAAUGCAGACUGUGGCCCAUUACAGGGCUUAUGCUUCUCUAUAUAAAAUUAGUAGUCAAUUCAAAUCGUAUCUCAAGUAAUACUGGAGCAAUUCAAGUCAUGCGUUUUCAUGGGGAUUGACCCAAUGCAAGACUGCCCCUCCCAUUUCACCUUCCGUUCUCCUUGUACUUUGUGCCUUGCUUUCCUUUGUCUGCACCUCCAGAAGCAACUUGAUCCAUUUCCUUGAAUUUAUUCUCAAAAACAUAAAACUAAAAGAAAAUGAAUAAUAAUUCCUAGCUUUAAUAAUAUUUAGGAAUGUGAUGCAGCCAUGAAAGAAUCAACCCUAAUUUGCAUCAGAAUGAUACCCCAACUUUUGCCUAUAUAAAAGUGAUUCAGCCAUGAAAGAAUCAACCCUAAUUUGCAUCAGAAUGAUACCCCAACUUUUGCCUAUAUAAAAGUGAUUCAGCCAUGAAAGAAUCAACCCUAAUUUGCAUCAGAAUGAUACCCCAACUUUUGCCUAUAAAGUGGCAGUUUAAUCGUAACAGUCAGCUAAAUAAAUCGAAUUUGUCUCCCAAAAGAAUAUUCCCAUGAGAUGUUCAUGAGUUCCUAACAUGACCGCAGAACCUAAAAGAAAAGGAUAAUAAUUCCUAGCUUAAUAUACUUAAGAAUGUAGCCAUAAAAGAAUCGACCCUAAUUUUCAUCAGAAUGAUACCCCUACUUUUCCCUGUAUAAAAGCGAUGCAGCCAUGAAAGAAUCAACCCUAAUUUGCAUCAUCAGAAUGAUACCCCAACUUUUGCCUAUAUAAAAGUGGCAGUUUAAUUGCAACAUUCAGCUAAAGAAAUCAAAUUUGUCUCCCAAAAGGAUAUUCCCAUGAGAUGUUUCAUGAGUUCCUAACAUGAUUGCAGAAACCAUCAACAAUAAAAAGUUCACAUGCAACACUAAUAAAGAAAUAAGACACUCCUAGGUAACUUACCUUGGUUUUCAAGGCUUGCAGAACACGGUUGGCCGGCGUUACAGAGAGAGAGCGAGUAAACUUAGAGAGAGAGAGAGACUGAGAGAGAGAGAGGUAAGCCGAGAGAAAGCAUACAGGAAUGAAAGAAAGAUUCGAAAGGGCAUUUUAG